CCAUGUUGGCCAGGAUGGUCCUGAUCUCUUGAGCUCGUGAUCCACCCGCCUCGGCCUCCCAAAGUGCUGGGAUUACAGGCGUGAGCCACCACGACCGGCCGACAUUAUUUAAUAUUGUUACAUCCAGUUGCAAAGCACAUGAACAUCUGGAUCUCUCAAGACCCACAACCCUUUUAUUCAUUGGUUAAAUCCAUGCAAGAUGAAGUAAAGGAAUGGGUGGAUGUGUGUCUGGUGAAUUCAGACAAUGUGGAAAGCUCUUUUUUUGGUGGGGAGGAAGAUGAGUCCCAGAUAACCUAAGUUACUGUCAAUCUAAUUUGAAUAAAUCAGAAAGUAGUCUGACUUAUUCAAAUUAUAGCUUCUGCUUCACUUUGAGCUUUGUUGUUGUUGUUAUUGUUGAGACAGGGUCUCACUCUGUUGCCCAGGCUGGAGUGCAGUGGUGCGAUCAUGGGUCACUGCAGCCUCAACUGAUCCUCCUGCUUCAGUCUCCCAAGUAGCUAGGACUACAGGUGCACACCACCAUGCCUGGCUAAGUUUUAAAAUUUUUGGUAGAGACAGUGUCUCACUGUGUUGCCCAGGCUAGUCUUGAACUCUUGGCCUCAAGCUAUCCUCCCGCCUUGUCCUCCCAAAUUGUUGGGAUUACAGGCAUGAGCCACUGUGACCUGGCCCACUUUGAGGUUUAUAGCUCUUUGUCCAGCAUAUCCAGAUUGAAUGACUAAACUAAUAACUAAUCCCAGUGUGUUGUGGUGGAGCCACAUAUGUUGCUAUGGAGACUCAGUGACGAUUUUCUUGCAUAUAGACUUCCAUAUCAGCAUGGAAUAGUCAUCUUUAAGCUUGGCAACAGUAUUUUCAGACUUACUUUUUAAUUUGGCUGAUGGCCAUGCUCUCCUCCAUCCACCCCCAUUUUCAUUUUCUACAUUUCAUAGGAUUGAUAGGUUAAUAUCUUUUUGUUGUUGUUGUUGUUGUUUUUUGUUUUUUUUGAAACAGAGUCUUGCUCUGUCACCCAGGCUGGAAUGCAGUGGUGUGAUCAUAGCUCACUGCAGCCUCAACCUCCUGGUCUCAAGCGAUCCUCCCACCUCAGCCUCCCAAGUAGCUGGGACUACAGAAUUUCAGGAUCCUGGGACCUGAGAUUGAACCGGCAGCUGAUCAAUUCUGUGGAAUUUAGAGUUCUUGUUCUCGGCACUGAACCAGAAUUUUCUUUGGCAAAAGAGGGAAAGCAUACAAUUAUGGUCAGAAACAUAAUAAUAAAUCUACUGUAACAACCUUCUUUCCACCACAUAUCUUUGCUGGUAUUUAUCUGAAUAUCCAGCUUAUAAAAACAAGAAGAGAUUGUCAUUUCAACAGCACCAGCAACUCUUCCUGUGAUUUACAGAGGCAAUAAAGAACUAGAGGGGGCACAUUUAUCAUGGAGUUCUGCACACCAGGAGCCAUUUUCUCCAGCGGUAAAGGCAAGUGAUAAAACGAAUUCUUUUGUUCUAUAACCAAGACACAUUCCCUGUUCUCUAAACUUGGGCACACCAGGCUGCUCUAGUGGCAGCCUGGCACUGCCCCAUCCACACUGAAUGAUAAAUUGUUAGCACAAAAACAUUGAUAGAACACCUAGAACACCUGGCUGUGAACAGUGCGAUGUGCUUACCGUCAACACACAAUAGUUAGCUGCCAACAUGUUGGUACUAUGAAUUUCCAGUCUACUUUGAAUAACACAUUGUGUAUGGGCUUUUUUUUCAUAUUGGAGGAGAAGGGAAGGGAAUGUUAAAUAGUGUGAAGGGUUUUGUUUUGUUUAGUAAAGAUCAUAACAUUUAAAUUUUGAAUCCCGAUUUUCUUGUGGUAGCAAAGAAUGCCUCAUCUGAAUUUUGAUGUGGAAAAGCAAAACCAGUUCUGGUAUACAUUUUUUCAAUUCACUUUGUAUUUGAUUUUGAGUUUGUGUUAUGUGUUUUAGGCAGGCAGGUGUGAUGCACAGAGGUGCUUUUAAGCUGUCUCUGAGCUUUGAUUACACAUUUGUGAGUUUUUGAAAUGAAUUAGGCAGGCUUUGAGCUAAGCUGGACAUAAAAGCUACAACAGUUUUGCUGUUUGGGAGACUUAAAAAAUGGAGCAUUUUUAAAUAUUCUAUAAUUGAGUACAUACAUCACCCAGUCGUAUUUAUUAAGUACUCACCUGUGCAUGACAACGUGUCAGGCACAAAGAUUACUGUAAAAAAUGCCAAUUAUUUGGAACCAGAGACAAUGGUAGUGUUUACACUUAGGAGAAAAUGAACACAAAUGUUAAAUUGUGAAUGUUAUUCCUAAUGGGGCAAAUUAUGGAGUUAAUUUAGUCUCUGAAAGAGGCAAGCGUGGUCAAGUAAAAUCUCUUGACAUGUCCCACUUAUACAAUAAUUAACUCUGCUCGUUGUUGGUGUCUUAAUGAAAAAUAAUAUGUUCCAAAGAGAGAAGUAAGGCAGAAGCUAUUAAAAAUCCAGGAAAAGAAAAUUCAGAUUGGGUACUUUUGUGACUUCUUGGCCAUUCUUAUAAACUUUUGGCUGGGAGGGAAUUUGGAACAGUGUUAUGUGGGAGUUUCAC
This is a long non-coding RNA of Gorilla gorilla gorilla (western lowland gorilla), 2552 nucleotides long. RefSeq lists it as uncharacterized. The record is from RefSeq and is a predicted model, not a curated record. The transcript has 3 exons. Lineage: Eukaryota; Metazoa; Chordata; Mammalia; Primates; Hominidae.